Molecule: non-coding RNA, 88 nt
Organism: Mycena vulgaris
Lineage: Eukaryota; Fungi; Basidiomycota; Agaricomycetes; Agaricales; Mycenaceae
Source: the annotation of a GenBank genome assembly
AGCCUGGUGGUGGAUGGUCAAACCCACAUCUAAUGUCGGUGUUGCGAUGUGUAAGUGGGGUUCCCUCGUUCGAAUCGGGGCCAGGCUA